Long non-coding RNA from Cercocebus atys (sooty mangabey), 395 nucleotides. RefSeq lists it as uncharacterized. The transcript is spliced from 4 exons. The record is from RefSeq and is a predicted model, not a curated record. NCBI's taxonomy places the organism in Eukaryota, Metazoa, Chordata, Mammalia, Primates, Cercopithecidae.
AGAAGCCAAGCCCAGAAAAUAUGGGUUUAAGGUUUACCUAUAUGUCCAAUACAAGAGAAAAAGAACAAUCUACUUCUUUAGAAGGUUCUACUUUGAUCACCUGAUUCCAAUUGUGAAAAAAAAUUGUGCCUAAAGAAUAUAGUCUCUUUAUAGAAUUGUUUUGAAACCUACCAUAGGUAUUUCCACCCAGGAAGAUUUCUGUAUUUGUCUCCUUGACUCUUGAGUUUUGUUGUUGUUAAUACUGGAUGAAGAGGAGACAAGAUGGAUCUGGAGGAGCACCGACAAGCAAAUGACAGAUUCCUAGGCCCUCACCAGAGGCUGAGCAGGUGUUGGUGCCAUGCUUGUACAGUCUGCAGAACCAUGAGCUAAAAUAAACCUCUUUUCUUUAUAAAUUA